Molecule: microRNA precursor, 82 nt
Filed under: Microtus ochrogaster (prairie vole)
Lineage: Eukaryota; Metazoa; Chordata; Mammalia; Rodentia; Cricetidae
Description: miRNA (ENSMOCG00000008130.1)
Source: RNAcentral
UGCUUGUUCCUGUGUGUGCUCUGGUUCCCAUGUUGUCCUGUGGCAGAGCUAGGGCCAUAGCAUCCAGAUAAUGUGGAGAUGG